RNAcentral lists this ribosomal RNA (312 nucleotides) under Triticum aestivum (bread wheat). RNAcentral's name for it is "partial small subunit ribosomal RNA". Lineage: Eukaryota; Viridiplantae; Streptophyta; Magnoliopsida; Poales; Poaceae. The record is from RNAcentral.
AUGAAGGGCGUUCACUCGACACUCGACACUGGAACGACAAAAGUAACAGAAGCCCAGUUGAGGUCUCCAGACUGCUCAAUCACUGGUUCCGUCGCCGGCGUCGAUUGGGACGUCUUGCUAGCUGGUGCCUUCAUGCUUGAAGUCCUGCCCCUCCUUCCCAUGGGUCUCUGUGGCACAUCUUCGUCGUCAUCUGGAAGUUCAAUAACAUUGGGUGGAGUUGCAAAGCAAUUAAUUGCAACAGUUCAGUCGACCGAAAAAGUGGCUAAUAAAGUAAAGACAAGAUGUCAAGAAUUAUACCCGCGUUUGAAGUGA